GCCCUUAUUCUGGGCAUCGCGCGAACCUGUCGAAAGCCAGGAGUGCCCGCAAGGGAGCACGGAGCCAGGUGGUGCAUGGCUGUCGUCAGCUCGUGUCGUGAGAGGUUGGGUUAAGUCCCGCAACGAGCGCAACCCUCACCCCUUGUUGCUACCAGGUAAAGCUGGGCACUCUAGGGGAACUGCCCCGGUCAACGGGGAGGAAGGCGGGGAUGACGUCAAGUCAUCAUGCCCCUUACGUCCUGGGCUACACACGUGCUACAAUGGCCGGUACAAAGGGAUGCCACACCGUGAGGUAGAGCUAAACCCAAAAAGCCGGUCUAAGUUCAGAUUGGAGUCUGCAACUCGACUCCAUGAAGGAGGAAUCGCUAGUAAUCGCGUAUCAGCACGACGCGGUGAAUACGUUCCCGGGCCUUGUACACACCGCCCGUCACACCACGAAAGCCAGCUGUACUCGAAGUCGCUGAGAAGGGC
RNAcentral lists this ribosomal RNA (471 nucleotides) under uncultured Methylomirabilota bacterium. RNAcentral describes it as "bacterial SSU rRNA". It matches the Rfam family "Bacterial small subunit ribosomal RNA", at positions 966 to 1440 of the family's 1533-position model. Lineage: Bacteria; Methylomirabilota (SeqCode). The record is from RNAcentral.